Molecule: ribosomal RNA, 266 nt
Filed under: uncultured bacterium
Lineage: Bacteria
Description: partial 16S ribosomal RNA
Rfam family: Bacterial small subunit ribosomal RNA
Source: RNAcentral
ACAAUGGGGGGUACAGAGGGCCGCUACCACGCGAGUGGAUGCCAAUCCCUAAAACCCCUCUCAGUUCGGACUGGAGUCUGCAACCCGACUCCACGAAGCUGGAUUCGCUAGUAAUCGCGCAUCAGCCACGGCGCGGUGAAUACGUUCCCGGGCCUUGUACACACCGCCCGUCAAGCCAUGGGAGCCGGGGGUACCUGAAGUGCGUAACCGCGAGGAUCCGCCCUAGGGUAAAACUGGUGACUGGGGCUAAGUCGUAACAAGGUAAC